CAAGCAAACAGCAUCCCUGCCAUCAUGAGGAAGGACAAUGACUAAACAAACACUGACAUACAAUGCAACGUCAGAUAACGUUCGACAUGACGUGUGUCAGGUGCACGUGAAGCAAGGGUCAUCGACAUCUGUGCGUUUGUGUCUGCACACGUGUUCAAGCCCACGCCCGCUUCCCCCGGGGUGCCCCUGUGAUAUGCUCUGGCCAGAGCGUGCUCCCGGCAGCCACUGUACCUUUAGCCUGGGCCCCAGAGUGGGACGUGUGGAAGAGACCUGGAUCCAGCCUGGUCCACUUGAACUCAUUCUAGAUCAGCAGAACCGAGGUUGAU
Microcebus murinus (gray mouse lemur) is the source of this 326-nucleotide non-coding RNA. NCBI's taxonomy places the organism in Eukaryota, Metazoa, Chordata, Mammalia, Primates, Cheirogaleidae. The record is from RefSeq and is a predicted model, not a curated record.